This 939-nucleotide ribosomal RNA is filed under the name uncultured bacterium. Its description in RNAcentral is "bacterial SSU rRNA". It matches the Rfam family "Bacterial small subunit ribosomal RNA", at positions 8 to 1260 of the family's 1533-position model. The record is from RNAcentral.
AGAGUUUGAUCAUGGCUCAAGACGAACGCUAGCGGCGGGCUUAAUACAUGCAAGUUAGGGGGGCAGCAAUGCUCACCGGCGUACGGGUGCGUAACACGUAUAUAACAUACCCUUUAGGGGAGGAUACAUCAAAAAAAUUCGGGAUAAAACUCCGUAAGCUAACGUUAGGGCAUCCUAGUGUUAGGAAAAUUUCUAAAGGAUUGGUAUGCGUCUGAUUAGCUAGUUGGCGAGGUAACGGCUCACCAAGGCGACGAUCAGUAGCUGGUCUUAAAGGAUGAUCAGCCACACUGGCACUGAGACACGGGCCACACUCCUACGGGAGGCAGCAGUAGGGAAUAUUGGUCAAUGGACGCAAGUCUGAACCACCCACGCCGCGUGCAGGAAGAAGGUUCUUUGGAUCGUAAACUGCUUUUAUCAAGGGAUAAAGAGAGGCUAUACGCCUAAAUGAAGGUACUUGAUGAAUAAGCCACGGCUAACUACGUGCCAGCAGCCGCGGUAAUACGUAGGUGGCAAGCGUUGUCCGGAUUUACUGGGUUUAAAGGGUGCGUAGGCGGUUUAAUAAGUCAGUCGUUAAAGACACAAGCUUAACUUGGGCGUGGCGAUUGAUACUGUUAGACUUGAAUAAUUUGGAGGUAGCUGGAAUGCGUAGUGUAGCGGUGAAAUGCUCAUAUAUUACGCAGAACACCGAUUGCGGAGGCAGGUUACUACUAUUUUAUUGACGCUGACGCACGAAAGUGUGGGUAGCAACAGGAUUAGAUACCGCUGUAGUCCACACUGUAAACGAUGAUACUAGAUGUCGGCAGCACGCUGAGUGUCAGCGAAGCGAUAGUCAUCCACCUAGAGAGUACGACGGCAGGUCGAACUCAAGGAAUCGACGACGCCGACAGUGGUGAGACUUUGAUUAUCGAUGAUCGCAGACUACUAGCUAUGAAUGUGUGA